GACGAACGCUGGCGGCGUGCUUAACACAUGCAAGUCGAACGGAAAGGCCCUGCUUUUGUGGGGUGCUCGAGUGGCGAACGGGUGAGUAACACGUGAGUAACCUGCCCUUGACUUUGGGAUAACUUCAGGAAACUGGAGCUAAUACCGGAUAGGAGCUCCUGCUGCAUGGUGGGGGUUGGAAAGUUUCGGCGGUUGGGGAUGGACUCGCGGCUUAUCAGCUUGUUGGUGGGGUAGUGGCUUACCAAGGCUUUGACGGGUAGCCGGCCUGAGAGGGUGACCGGCCACACUGGGACUGAGAUACGGCCCAGACUCCUACGGGAGGCAGCAGUGGGGAAUAUUGCACAAUGGGCGGAAGCCUGAUGCAGCAACGCCGCGUGCGGGAUGACGGCCUUCGGGUUGUAAACCGCUUUCGCCUGUGACGAAGCGUGAGUGACGGUAAUGGGUAAAGAAGCACCGGCUAACUACGUG
This 468-nucleotide ribosomal RNA is filed under the name uncultured bacterium. Its description in RNAcentral is "partial 16S ribosomal RNA". It matches the Rfam family "Bacterial small subunit ribosomal RNA", at positions 28 to 507 of the family's 1533-position model. The record is from RNAcentral.